GACGAACGCUGGCGGCGUGCUUAACACAUGCAAGUCGAACGGAAAGGCCCUGCUUGCAUGGUACUCGAGUGGCGAACGGGUGAGUAACACGUGGGUGAUCUGCCCUGCACUUCGGGAUAAGCUUGGGAAACUGGGUCUAAUACCGGAUAGGAGCCAUCUUUAGUGUGGUGGUUGGAAAGUUUUUUCGGUGUAGGAUGAGCUCGCGGCCUAUCAGCUUGUUGGUGGGGUAAUGGCCUACCAAGGCGGCGACGGGUAGCCGGCCUGAGAGGGUGUACGGCCACAUUGGGACUGAGAUACGGCCCAGACUCCUACGGGAGGCAGCAGUGGGGAAUAUUGCACAAUGGGCGCAAGCCUGAUGCAGCGACGCCGCGUGGGGGAUGAAGGCCUUCGGGUUGUAAACUCCUUUCGCUAGGGACGAAGCUUUGUUGUGACGGUACCUAGAUAAGAAGCACCGGCUAACUACGUG
Molecule: ribosomal RNA, 466 nt
Filed under: uncultured bacterium
Lineage: Bacteria
Description: partial 16S ribosomal RNA
Rfam family: Bacterial small subunit ribosomal RNA
Source: RNAcentral